GACGAACGCCGGCGGCGUGCUUAACACAUGCAAGUCGAGCGGUAAGGCCCUUUCGGGGGUACACGAGCGGCGAACGGGUGAGUAACACGUGGGUGACCUGCCCUCAGCUCUGGGAUAAGCCCGGGAAACUGGGUCUAAUACUGGAUAUGACUCCAUGACGCAUGUUGUGGGGUGGAAAGCCUUGUGCGGCUGAGGAUGGGCCCGCGGCCUAUCAGCUUGUUGGUGGGGUGAUGGCCUACCAAGGCGACGACGGGUAGCCGGCCUGAGAGGGCGACCGGCCACACUGGGACUGAGACACGGCCCAGACUCCUACGGGAGGCAGCAGUGGGGAAUCUUGCGCAAUGGGCGAAAGCCUGACGCAGCGACGCCGCGUGAGGGAUGACGGCCU
This 388-nucleotide ribosomal RNA is filed under the name uncultured bacterium. RNAcentral describes it as "bacterial SSU rRNA". It matches the Rfam family "Bacterial small subunit ribosomal RNA", at positions 28 to 417 of the family's 1533-position model. The record is from RNAcentral.